This 281-nucleotide ribosomal RNA is filed under the name uncultured bacterium. Its description in RNAcentral is "partial 16S ribosomal RNA". It matches the Rfam family "Bacterial small subunit ribosomal RNA", at positions 76 to 353 of the family's 1533-position model. The record is from RNAcentral.
AAGCUUGCUUCUUUGCUGGCGACCGGCGCACGGGUGAGUAACACGUAUCCAACCUACCCUUUACUCGGGGAUAGCCUUUCGAAGGAAAGAUUAAUACCCGAUAGCAUAAUGAUUCCGCAUGGUUUCAUUAUUAAAGGAUUCCGGUAAAGGAUGGGGAUGCGUUCCAUUAGGUUGUUGGUGGGGUAACGGCCCACCAAGCCUUCGAUGGAUAGGGGUUCUGAGAGGAAGGUCCCCCACAUUGGAACUGAGACACGGUCCAAACUCCUACGGGAGGCAGCAUG